This 460-nucleotide ribosomal RNA is filed under the name uncultured bacterium. Its description in RNAcentral is "partial 16S ribosomal RNA". It matches the Rfam family "Bacterial small subunit ribosomal RNA", at positions 338 to 795 of the family's 1533-position model. The record is from RNAcentral.
CCUACGGGUGGCUGCAGUGAGGAAUAUUGCUCAAUGGGCGCGAGCCUGAACCAGCCAAGUAGCGUGAAGGAUGACUGCCCUACGUGUUGUAAACUUCUUUUAUAAAGGAAUAAAGUGAGGCACGUGUGCCUGUUUGUAUGUACUUCAUGAAUAAGGAUCGGCUAACUCCGUGCCAGCAGCCGCGGUAAUACGGAGGAUCCGAGCGUUAUCCGGAUUUAUUGGGUUUAAAGGGAGCGUAGAUGGGUUGUUAAGUCCGGUGUGAAAGUUUGCGGCCCAACCGUAAAAUUGCAAUUGAUACUGGCAGUCUUGAGUACAGUAGAGGUAGGCGGAAUUCGUGGUGUAGCGGUGAAAUGCGUAGAUAUCACGAAGAACACCGAUGGCGAAGGCAGCUUACUAAACUGCCACUGACAUUGAUGCUCGAAAGUGUGGGUAUCAAACAGGAUUAGAUACCCGAGUAGUC